RNAcentral lists this ribosomal RNA (463 nucleotides) under Achromobacter xylosoxidans. Its description in RNAcentral is "bacterial SSU rRNA". It matches the Rfam family "Bacterial small subunit ribosomal RNA", at positions 68 to 525 of the family's 1533-position model. The record is from RNAcentral. Lineage: Bacteria; Pseudomonadati; Pseudomonadota; Betaproteobacteria; Burkholderiales; Alcaligenaceae.
GGCAGCACGGACUUCGGUCUGGUGGCGAGUGGCGAACGGGUGAGUAAUGUAUCGGAACGUGCCCAGUAGCGGGGGAUAACUACGCGAAAGCGUAGCUAAUACCGCAUACGCCCUACGGGGGAAAGCAGGGGAUCGCAAGACCUUGCACUAUUGGAGCGGCCGAUAUCGGAUUAGCUAGUUGGUGGGGUAACGGCUCACCAAGGCGACGAUCCGUAGCUGGUUUGAGAGGACGACCAGCCACACUGGGACUGAGACACGGCCCAGACUCCUACGGGAGGCAGCAGUGGGGAAUUUUGGACAAUGGGGGAAACCCUGAUCCAGCCAUCCCGCGUGUGCGAUGAAGGCCUUCGGGUUGUAAAGCACUUUUGGCAGGAAAGAAACGUCGCGGGUUAAUACCCCGCGGAACUGACGGUACCUGCAGAAUAAGCACCGGCUAACUACGUGCCAGACCCGGGGGGUAAUA